This 736-nucleotide ribosomal RNA is filed under the name bacterium. RNAcentral's name for it is "bacterial SSU rRNA". It matches the Rfam family "Bacterial small subunit ribosomal RNA", at positions 30 to 753 of the family's 1533-position model. The record is from RNAcentral.
UGGACGGGCGGCGUGCUAUACAUGCAAGUCGAGCGGACAGAAGGGAGCUUGCUCCCGGAUGUUAGCGGCGGACGGGUGAGUAACACGUGGGUAACCUGCCUGUAAGACUGGGAUAACUCCGGGAAACCGGAGCUAAUACCGGAUAGUUCCUUGAACCGCAUGGUUCAAGGAUGAAAGACGGUUUCGGCUGUCACUUACAGAUGGACCCGCGGCGCAUUAGCUAGUUGGUGAGGUAACGGCUCACCAAGGCGACGAUGCGUAGCCGACCUGAGAGGGUGAUCGGCCACACUGGGACUGAGACACGGCCCAGACUCCUACGGGAGGCAGCAGUAGGGAAUCUUCCGCAAUGGACGAAAGUCUGACGGAGCAACGCCGCGUGAGUGAUGAAGGUUUUCGGAUCGUAAAGCUCUGUUGUUAGGGAAGAACAAGUGCAAGAGUAACUGCUUGCACCUUGACGGUACCUAACCAGAAAGCCACGGCUAACUACGUGCCAGCAGCCGCGGUAAUACGUAGGUGGCAAGCGUUGUCCGGAAUUAUUGGGCGUAAAGGGCUCGCAGGCGGUUUCUUAAGUCUGAUGUGAAAGCCCCCGGCUCAACCGGGGAGGGUCAUUGGAAACUGGGAAACUUGAGUGCAGAAGAGGAGAGUGGAAUUCCACGUGUAGCGGUGAAAUGCGUAGAGAUGUGGAGGAACACCAGUGGCGAAGGCGACUCUCUGGUCUGUAACUGACGCUGAGGAG